UUUUGUGAUAUUUUUGAAAUGUGCAGUAGCUUCCAUUUCCUUGUGGAGUCCCUGUCCUCUGGCACAAUAAUGAGAAGCAUAAUAAUCAUUUGCAAACAAAUAACUGUAUCCUGCCCUUUGUGACUUUUCCUACCUUGUGAUGACUUCUUUUAUUUUAAUCACAAUUUUAUCUCCUUCUGAUCCUGACUCUUAAGCUCUGGUUUCUCUUGAUCUGAGGAAGCUUUGAAGUUCAUUUUAACCCAAUUUCGCCUGAGGAAAUAUAUUUCAGUACUAGAG
This 276-nucleotide long non-coding RNA is filed under the name Bos taurus (domestic cattle). Its description in RNAcentral is "long non-coding RNA NONBTAT027090". The record is from RNAcentral. Lineage: Eukaryota; Metazoa; Chordata; Mammalia; Artiodactyla; Bovidae.